CGCUUGUGACCAGACUUGGGCGCGGCGGAUCAUCCGGGGUUCUCUCCGGUGCACUUCGCCGCGUCUAGGCCAGCAUCAGUUCGUCGCGGGGGAAAAAGGCUUCGGGAACGUGGCUCCUCCGGGAGUGUUAUAGCCCGUUGCAUAAUACCCUGCGGUGGACUGAGGACCGCGCAUCUGCAAGGAUGCUGGCGUAAU
Molecule: ribosomal RNA, 195 nt
Filed under: Trichoderma harzianum
Lineage: Eukaryota; Fungi; Ascomycota; Sordariomycetes; Hypocreales; Hypocreaceae
Also listed under: 2 other names
Description: partial 28S ribosomal RNA
Source: RNAcentral